Molecule: long non-coding RNA, 173 nt
Organism: Rhodamnia argentea
Lineage: Eukaryota; Viridiplantae; Streptophyta; Magnoliopsida; Myrtales; Myrtaceae
Exons: 5
Source: RefSeq, a predicted model, not a curated record
GGUCUUGGUUCUGUAAGGAUUGCACCUUUCUGAAGGAGUGCUCGAGCUUCGGUGGAAGGGAGGAAGAGAACAGCAAAGGAGAUCAAAAGAGCACAAGCAAGAAGACAGGCCUUCCUCAUUUUUUUUUUUUCAAUAGCUGGAGAGGUAUUAGGUCGAGAUCCGAAGAGCAAACG